UACGUAGGGUGCAAGCGUUAAUCGGAAUUACUGGGCGUAAAGCGCACGUAGGCGGUCUUUUAAGUCAGGGGUGAAAUCCUGGAGCUCAACUCCAGAACUGCCUUUGAUACUGAGAGACUUGAGUCCGGGAGAGGUGAGUGGAACUGCGAGUGUAGAGGUGAAAUUCGUAGAUAUUCGCAAGAACACCAGUGGCGAAGGCGGCUCACUGGCCCGGUACUGACGCUGAGGUGCGAAAGCGUGGGGAGCAAACAGG
This 253-nucleotide ribosomal RNA is filed under the name uncultured bacterium. Its description in RNAcentral is "partial 16S ribosomal RNA". It matches the Rfam family "Bacterial small subunit ribosomal RNA", at positions 524 to 776 of the family's 1533-position model. The record is from RNAcentral.